RNAcentral lists this ribosomal RNA (423 nucleotides) under uncultured Oribacterium sp. RNAcentral describes it as "bacterial SSU rRNA". It matches the Rfam family "Bacterial small subunit ribosomal RNA", at positions 355 to 794 of the family's 1533-position model. The record is from RNAcentral. Lineage: Bacteria; Bacillati; Bacillota; Clostridia; Lachnospirales; Lachnospiraceae.
UGGGGAGUAUUGCACAAUGGAGGAAACUACUGAUGCAGCGACGCCGCGUGAGUGAAGAAGUAUUUCGGUAUGUAAAGCUCUAUCAGCAGGGAAGAUAAUGACAGUACCUGACUAAGAAGCCCCGGCUAACUACGUGCCAGCAGCCGCGGUAAUACGUAGGGGGCAAGCGUUAUCCGGAUUUACUGGGUGUAAAGGGAGCGUAGACGGAACGGCAAGUUUGAAGUGAAAUACCCGGGCUUAACCCGGGAACUGCUUUGAAAACUGUCGAUCUAGAGUGUCGGAGAGGUAAGUGGAAUUCCUGGUGUAGUAGUGAAAUGCGUAGAUAUCAGGAAGAACACCGGAGGCGAAGGCGGCUUACUGGACGAUAACUGACGUUGAGGCUCGAAAGCGUGGGGAGCAAACAGGAUUAGAUACCCUGGUAGU